AUUGAACGCUGGCGGAAUGCUUUACACAUGCAAGUCGAACGGCAGCACGGGGCAACCUGGUGGCGAGUGGCGAACGGGUGAGUAAUACAUCGGAACGUGCCCAAUCGUGGGGGAUAACGUAGCGAAAGUUACGCUAAUACCGCAUACGAUCUACGGAUGAAAGCGGGGGAUCGCAAGACCUCGCGCGAAUGGAGCGGCCGAUGUCAGAUUAGGUAGUUGGUGGGGUAAAGGCUCACCAAGCCAAUGAUCUGUAGCUGGUCUGAGAGGACGACCAGCCACACUGGAACUGAGACACGGUCCAGACUCCUACGGGAGGCAGCAGUGGGGAAUUUUGGACAAUGGGCGCAAGCCUGAUCCAGCCAUUCCGCGUGCAGGAUGAAGGCCUUCGGGUUGUAAACUGCUUUUGUACGGAACGAAACGGUCUGCCCUAAUACGGCGGGCUAAUGACGGUACCGUAAGAAUAAGCACCGGCUAACUACGUGCCAGCAGCCGCGGUAA
RNAcentral lists this ribosomal RNA (498 nucleotides) under uncultured bacterium. Its description in RNAcentral is "bacterial SSU rRNA". It matches the Rfam family "Bacterial small subunit ribosomal RNA", at positions 30 to 523 of the family's 1533-position model. The record is from RNAcentral.